Molecule: ribosomal RNA, 235 nt
Filed under: uncultured bacterium
Lineage: Bacteria
Description: partial 16S ribosomal RNA
Rfam family: Bacterial small subunit ribosomal RNA
Source: RNAcentral
GAUCCUGGCUCAGGACGAACGCUGGCGGCGUGCCUAAUACAUGCAAGUAGAACGCUGAAGAGAGGAGCUUGCUCUUCUUGGAUGAGUGGCGGACGGGUGAGUAACGCGUGGGUAACCUACCCUGUACAGGGGGAUAACAGUCAGAAAUGACUGCUAAUACCGCAUAAGACCACAGCACCGCAUGGUGCAGGGGUAAAAACUACCGGUGGUACAGGAUGGACCCGCGUCUGAUUAG